RNAcentral lists this ribosomal RNA (915 nucleotides) under uncultured archaeon. RNAcentral describes it as "bacterial SSU rRNA". It matches the Rfam family "Archaeal small subunit ribosomal RNA", at positions 1 to 922 of the family's 1478-position model. The record is from RNAcentral.
UUCCGGUUGAUCCCGCCGGAGGUCACUGCUAUUGGGAUUCGACUAAGCCAUGCGAGUCGAGAGGGUUCGGCCCUCGGCUGACGGCUCAGUAACACGUGGAUAAUCUGCCUUUAGGUGGAGGAUACCCUCGGGAAACUGAGAAUAAUACUCCAUAGGUCUAGGAUGCUGGAAUGCAUCUAGACUCAAAGCUCCGGCGCCUAAGGAUGAGUCUGCGGACUAUCAGGUUGUAGUCAGGGUAAUGACCUGACUAGCCUACGACGGAUACGGGUUGUGAGAGCAAUAACCCGGAGAUGAUAUCUGAGACACGAUAUCAGGCCCUACGGGGCGCAGCAGGCGCGAAAACUUCACACUGUGCGAAAGCACGAUGAGGGAAUCCCAAGUGCUUGCACUUAGGUGUAAGCUGUUUCUUUGUUUAAAACGCAUUGAGAGUAAGGGCUGGGUAAGACGGGUGCCAGCCGCCGCGGUAAUACCUGCAGCUCGAGUGGUGGCCACUAUUAUUGGGCCUAAAACGUCCGUAGCCGGUUUAGUAAAUGCCUGGGUAAAUCGUGUAGCUUAACUAUACGAAUUCCGGGUAGACUGCUAAACUUGAGACCGGGAGAAGUUAGAGGUACUCCUGGGGUAGAGGUGAAAUUCUGUAAUCCUAGGGGGACCACCAGUGGCGAAGGCGUCUGACUAGAACGGGUCUGACGGUGAGGGACGAAGCCCUGGGGCGCAAACCGGAUUAGAUACCCGGGUAGUCCAGGGUGUAAACGCUGCUUGCUUGAUGUUGGUUGGGCUCCGAGCCCAAUCAGUGUCGGAGAGAAGUUGUUAAGCAAGCUGCCUGGGAAGUACGGCCGCAAGACUGAAACUUAAAGGAAUUGGCGGGGGAGCACAGCAACGGGUGGAGCGUGCGGUUUAAUUGGAUUCAACGCCGGA